GCACAGCCAGCUCUAAACGGCCUGCCAAGCUGCCUCGCAGCCCCUGUCCCGCGGUGCUGUGGCACGGAGCGAUGAGAAUCUGCGGACAACUGCCGCUGCUUAAGGAGGGGAUUCCACAGGCACCAGACCGCAGGCUUCCUGUUUAUGUCCAAGGACAGAAAUGAAGAUUUGUUUUCAUAGUGUCAGCCCACAGAAUAAACCCUCGGUCUCGCUGUGAGCCCAGCAGAAGGGGUCAUUCCGGGCCUUCCUGUGCCUGGCAUCCCGCUCCCCUUCUUCCUGGCACACAGGGACAGGGCAGGGGGCUGUGAGGCUGAGGGUCCCCUCCAGAAGGACUUCCUGCUGGAGCGGCCGGCUCCUCGCAUGCCCCACGGUUGCAGGGCUGAGUCCAGAGCAGGCUGAGCACAACUCGCUUUUCUUGUGAGCUCCAGUCCCUCCAAAACUCAGGAAGAAUGCUUUAUGCAAAGCGUCUGCUCUUUCCCAGUGUCAGAGGAGGAAAGCCCUACCUGACCAGCAAGGUGUGUAACAGUUAAACAGGCUGGCCCCAGGGGUGGCAGGAGACAGCAAACCCUGCUAAUCGCCUCGCCGGGAUGUUUUUUCCCGUUACUAUUUUCUGUCUCCAGAUCAGGCCAGAACUAAGAUUAAUAGAGUGACACGUCCUAAAACGGAUAUUGCUUAUUCCUGUGAUAAGCUCACUUUUCCAAGUCUAUGCACUUGUACUUGUUGGUUAGCCUUGUGCAGAUUUUGAAGGAAGCUUCAGGCUGAAGUUCUUUCUAUUUGAAUAUGAAAAAGGUUUUCAGAGUUCCUGAGCAGGAAGUCCUGAUGACCUCCAGUAGCAGCUAUGGGAAGCACAGCACCGAUGGGGGCCCACUGCUCACCAACAGUGCGUGUACCGAGCUCGCAGCCCCUCCAGGGCACAGCCACCUUUGAAAACACAGCAAAUUGCCCCUCGUGAAAACACAGCUAAUUGCCCAGACUGACCCAGUUAACCAGCAGCUGAGGCAGAACAAGGGCCAUGGGAGAGGCCGCCGCAGCCCCCCGGCGCGGGCUGGGUCUUGUGGGCACUGGGGCUGCAGGGGCGAAGCUGCGGGAGGCGAUUCUGGGCCUGGGGCAGCUGGCGGAGACCUGCGCUGAAAGCCUUCAGAAAGGCUUAAACAGCGUCGUGUCACCCCACUGAAACUUGUUACUUCUAACUCCAAGUCCUUGGAACAUAAUCAGAAUCUACUACUGAAAAAUAUUUCUGGAGUCGAAUUGUAUUGGCACAAUAAUUGCAAACACUUUGGAGACAUGCACCUUGUGAAUUAAGGCCACUGCGUAUUUUGUGACUAUGAAUUACAGGGUGUUUCAAGGAUAUAUCUGAAAAUGUUUAUUUUUCUCUUGUACUGUGGUUUCUAUAUUGUUAAGUUCCAUUUUUGUGUAAAUAUUAGUGAAAAUUGACUUUGCAAUAUCUGCAGAGACGGUGUUACUUGGUAUUUCAGCUUCUCAGGUUAUGUAACUGCUUUAAUUAAAUACUAGUAAAAAAAUCCCCUUAUUUGUAUGUAGUUUUAAUGAAUAAGAAGGUUUUGGGUUUUAAUCAAGCACAGGUUUGUUUGCACGUACAUUUGGUGUUAGGCAUGGCUUUUGAAGUUGUAACUAUUUUUAGUGACAGCAGAGCUGCAGCCGCAGAGUUACUGGCACUGUACCUAGCAACCUUCGUUGGAACAGGCACCAAUAAAAUUCUGAAACACUU
Molecule: long non-coding RNA, 1726 nt
Organism: Oxyura jamaicensis (ruddy duck)
Lineage: Eukaryota; Metazoa; Chordata; Aves; Anseriformes; Anatidae
Exons: 3
Source: RefSeq, a predicted model, not a curated record